RNAcentral lists this transfer RNA (68 nucleotides) under Cordylochernes scorpioides. RNAcentral describes it as "tRNA-Cys". Lineage: Eukaryota; Metazoa; Arthropoda; Arachnida; Pseudoscorpiones; Chernetidae. The record is from RNAcentral.
UUCAUCUGCCGGGAAACGAACCCGGGCCGCCCGCGUUGCAGGCGAGCAUUCUACCACUGAACCACCGA